UAGGGAAUCUUCCGCAAUGGACGCAAGCCUGACGGAGCAACGCCGCGUGAGUGAAGAAGGAUUUCGGUUCGUAAAACUCUGUUGUUAGAGAAGAACAGCGCAUAGAGUAACUGUUAUGCGUGUGACGGUAUCUAACCAGAAAGCCCCGGCUAACUACGUGCCAGCAGCCGCGGUAAUACGUAGGGGGCGAGCGUUGUCCGGAAUUAAUGGGCGUAAAGGGUUCGCAGGCGGAAUGUGAAGUCCGAAGUAAAAGGCGAAAGAUCAACUUUCGGAAGCGUCGGAAACUGUCAAGCUUGGGUGAAGGAGGGGCAAGUGGAAUUCCUAGUGUAGCGGUGGAAUGCGUAGAGAUUAGGAGGAAUACCGGUGGCGAAGGCGACUUGCUGGGCUUCAACUGACGCUGAGGAACGAAAGCGUUGGUAGCAAACAGG
Molecule: ribosomal RNA, 428 nt
Filed under: Bacteroidota bacterium
Lineage: Bacteria; Pseudomonadati; Bacteroidota
Description: Bacteroidetes bacterium partial 16S ribosomal RNA
Rfam family: Bacterial small subunit ribosomal RNA
Source: RNAcentral